RNAcentral lists this ribosomal RNA (327 nucleotides) under Triticum aestivum (bread wheat). RNAcentral's name for it is "partial small subunit ribosomal RNA". The record is from RNAcentral. Lineage: Eukaryota; Viridiplantae; Streptophyta; Magnoliopsida; Poales; Poaceae.
AUGGCGCUGAUGGAUGCACUGUACAGGGGCGCCGCCGCCACUGAGCUGGCCACCGGCUUUUGCCUGUCGUGCUGCCGCGACGGGCACUCCCUCCUCGGCUUUGCCAGGGUCCUCCUGCCCUGCGUUUAUGUGCUGCUCCUCGUCAUCAUCUCCGUGGGCAAUGCCCUUGAACCCCAUUCUCCAACCAUCUGGCAGCGUGCUGGACGUCGUCCUCCUCGACGCAGCCGUCCCCGACGAGCUCUCUUUGUCGGAGGAGGUGGGGCAGCAAGGCCUCCUAUCCUCCAGCGCGUGGACCGACGGCUGAGUCCUCCUGCUCUCCUAGCGUGA